Molecule: ribosomal RNA, 460 nt
Filed under: uncultured bacterium
Lineage: Bacteria
Description: partial 16S ribosomal RNA
Rfam family: Bacterial small subunit ribosomal RNA
Source: RNAcentral
CCUACGGGGGGCAGCAGUGAGGAAUAUUGGUCAAUGGGCGGAAGCCUGAACCAGCCAAGUAGCGUGCAGGAUGACGGCCCUACGGGUUGUAAACUGCUUUUAUACGGGAAUAACGCGCCUUACGUGUAGGGCUUUGCAUGUACCGUAUGAAUAAGGACCGGCUAAUUCCGUGCCAGCAGCCGCGGUAAUACGGAGGGUCCGGGCGUUAUCCGGAUUUAUUGGGUUUAAGGGGAGCGUAGGCCGCAUGUCAAGCGUGCUGUGAAAUGUCCGGGCUCAACCCGGGCCUUGCAGCGCGAACUGGCGUGCUUGAGGCCGCGGAAGGCAGGCGGAAUUCGUGGUGUAGCGGUGAAAUGCUUAGAUAUGACGAAGAACCCCGAUUGCGAAGGCAGCCUGCUGCAGCGGAACUGACGCUGAUGCUCGAAAGCGCGGGUAUCGAACAGGAUUAGAUACCCUGGUAGUC